UGGAGGGUUUUCAAAGACGGGUGAGGCCGAGAAUCCUAAAAAAGUUUCAGUGUACCUUCACCGUGUGUAGAAUUGGAAUCUUUCUUACUUUGGAAGCUCUCGUUGGCUUCUGGAUUGAUGGAGCGGAUAUGAGGAUAAAAUGAAAAGGGGAGAGAAAAGAAAAAAGGAAGAGGAAAUGUGAGCGACAUUCACCCUGUGAGCCGAUGCCAUAAACUGAAGCAGCAUGGGCUAAUGGAUAGAGCACUGGCCUGGGAGUCGGAAGACCUGUGUUCG
Ornithorhynchus anatinus (platypus) is the source of this 273-nucleotide long non-coding RNA. RefSeq lists it as uncharacterized. The transcript has 3 exons. The record is from RefSeq and is a predicted model, not a curated record. Lineage: Eukaryota; Metazoa; Chordata; Mammalia; Monotremata; Ornithorhynchidae.